This 253-nucleotide ribosomal RNA is filed under the name uncultured prokaryote. RNAcentral's name for it is "partial 16S ribosomal RNA". It matches the Rfam family "Bacterial small subunit ribosomal RNA", at positions 524 to 776 of the family's 1533-position model. The record is from RNAcentral.
UACGUAGGGUGCAAGCGUUAAUCGGAAUUACUGGGCGUAAAGCGUACGCAGGCGGCUAUGUAAGUCAGAUGUGAAAUCCCUGGGCUCAACCUGGGAACUGCAUUUGAGACUGCAUGGCUAGAGUAUGGAAGAGGGAAGUGGAAUUUCCGGUGUAGCGGUGAAAUGCGUAGAUAUCGGAAGGAACACCAGUGGCGAAAGCGACUUCCUGGUCCAAUACUGACACUGAGGAGCGAAAGCCAGGGGAGCAAACGGG